CAGAGUUCUUGCCCUUACGGGUAGAUCUCCCACCCUAUGUUAUUAUUACCUUUGUUGCUUUGGCGGGCCGUUCGGCUCUGUCGACCACCGGCUUCGGCUGGUGUGCGCCCGCCAGAGGACCCCAAACUCUGAAUAUUAGUGUCGUCUGAGUACUAUAUAAUAGUUA
RNAcentral lists this unclassified non-coding RNA (166 nucleotides) under uncultured Hyaloscyphaceae. RNAcentral's name for it is "sequence contains ITS1". The record is from RNAcentral. Lineage: Eukaryota; Fungi; Ascomycota; Leotiomycetes; Helotiales.